This 379-nucleotide ribosomal RNA is filed under the name uncultured fungus. RNAcentral describes it as "eukaryotic LSU rRNA". The record is from RNAcentral. Lineage: Eukaryota; Fungi.
GUGAGUCAUCGAAUCUUUGAACGCACCCUGCACCUUUUGGACUUGUCUGAAAGGUCUGCCUGUUUGAGUAGAUGAAAUAAACAUCAAAGGGCAAGCUGCCGUCGUACAGUAGCCAAUUUGGUCUUGAGCCUUCCGAAGUGUGUGUGAACGCGCUUUGGUGGCUUUAAAUGCAUGGUAUCGGAAGCAAUGUGCUUGGUGACGCGAACGGUGUUUUAAUCAGGUCAGAGAUGACCGGUCAUGCAUGCCAGUAGCGACACCUUCAAGGCGUUUUGUCUCCCGACACACAUGGGACAGAGGUCUACUCUGUGCAUUUACCAACCUCUUCAUCUUCAAAUCAGGUAGGAAUACCCGCUGACUUAAGGCAUAUCAAUAAGCGAGG